GAUGAACGCUGGCGGCGUGCCUAACACAUGCAAGUCGAGCGAUUCUCUUCGGAGAAGAGCGGCGGACGGGUGUGUAACGCGUGGGUAACCUGCCCUGUACACACGGAUAACAUACCGAAAGGUAUGCUAAUACGAGAUAAUAUGCUUUUAUCGCAUGGUAGAAGUAUCAAAGCUUUUGCGGUACAGGAUGGACCCGCGUCUGAUUAGCUAGUUGGUAAGGUAACGGCUUACCAAGGCGACGAUCAGUAGCCGAUCUGAGAGGGUGAUCGGCCACAUUGGAACUGAGACACGGUCCAAACUCCUACGGGAGGCAGCAGUGGGGAAUAUUGCACAAUGGGCGAAAGCCUGAUGCAGCAACGCCGCGUGAGCGAUGAAGGCCUUAGGGUUGUAAAGUUCUGUCCUCAAGGAAGAUAAUGACGGUACUUGAGGAGGAAGCCCCGGCUAACUACGUG
Molecule: ribosomal RNA, 452 nt
Filed under: uncultured bacterium
Lineage: Bacteria
Description: partial 16S ribosomal RNA
Rfam family: Bacterial small subunit ribosomal RNA
Source: RNAcentral